This is a long non-coding RNA of Micropterus salmoides (largemouth bass), 3628 nucleotides long. RefSeq lists it as uncharacterized. The transcript has 4 exons. NCBI's taxonomy places the organism in Eukaryota, Metazoa, Chordata, Actinopteri, Centrarchiformes, Centrarchidae. The record is from RefSeq and is a predicted model, not a curated record.
AUUUCUGUAAAUAUGCGAAAGUACAUCCUACACAUCGUGUAUCCACGUUGCAUGUAUAGGCCUAUAGCUGGGUGUAACUAAAAGGAAAGGUGCGAGAGACGACGUAACUACCAUAGUUGUACAUACAUAAACUUGGUAAGGUUCUCAGUGUUUACAUUAUCUUUACCAUCUCUAAUUAAAAUACAUCAAAUAUAAAUGCCUACGAAAUAAAUACAAAACAAUAUGAAGAACUAUGCUACAGGUUUCAAAAAGAAUGGGGGGGAAAAAACUACAGCCUAUAUAAAAACACCUAGAUGUCUAUAAAGUUUAAAAAUAUUGGCUACUAUAAAGAACACUAAAAUUCAUUAAUUUGAUUAAUGUUAUGCAAAAUACCCCAUCGAUUACAACAUUGAUAUUAUACUAUAAAGCGUUUUAUUCUAUUUUGCUCACUUUAUGCAAGUAUGUGUCUACUGGAAGGAUCUGGAACUUAUCUGCUGGACCUUAUUUGCCCUGAACAAACCAUAUUAGGCAACAUGAGUAAGAGGCCAUAAAUGUGGUCUUUGAGACAUUUGGCUCCCUCUGGUGGAAUUACACAUUUAUAAUAACCAAUGCACUCAUAUUUAUGUUUAUGAAAAAAGACCAAGUAAAUCAUAUGACAGUGUUUACAUUUACUCACAUUUGAGGCCAACUAUACUAACAAAGAAUAUCUGGACGGGGAUGUCUUUGAUGAUAUACAGGACAACAAUAAAAACAUCUUUGCCCCCCUCUGGUGGGGCUGAUGGAUGAAACUAAUCAUAUAGCAUACCCUUGCCACAUCAAAGUGAUAAAAAAACGGAUUCUCAUCAUUUACUUAGGUCAAAGUACGUUAUUCCCUCUAGUGGAGCAAAAGUUUAACAUGACAAAAAAUAAAAGUACUCAGGUAAGUACCUCAAAACUGUAAUUAAGUACUGCAUAUGAGUAAAUGUACUUGGUUACAUUCAACCCCUGGUGAUUCAUAACAUUUGACAUUAAAAUUUGAGUGGACCACCACCAUAAAAAGGGCUUUAGUGGUGUUGAUUUUAUGAAUAAAUUAGUAAAAGAAAUCUAUCACAACACUUUUGGUUUUAUAUUGUAUAUCACAGAGUCUAGCCCUUGGUAGCGCUACAUAAACUUGUUAACCCCAUACAUGAUUGCCUUAUUGUAUUCUUGCUAUAGGUCAGAACCUGGUUUUUGCCAACCACAGCAAUAAGUAUAUCAGAUGUAAAUGGCCUUAAAAUGGACAGGCAGUGGUUAAUCUUAACUUGUGUUUCUCAAUGUGCAUUUAAAUGUGAAACCAUAAACCAUGAGCCAGUUGUAGCUUUUAUCUUUUAUUGUUAUUUGCAGGUGACAGAGAGAUAUAAUCUAAACUGGAAACUGCUUUAACACAGAAAUGUAAAUAUAGACCUCUUUCCAAAACAACCGCCCAUUUUACACUGACAUUUGCGUAACAACACAUUUGUCUAAUGAAUAACAUCUAUCAGGAGUAAGAAAAGGUGCUCCUUGAAAUGCAGUGAAACCUGUACUGCUGGAUCUUCAUGGGUGUUUCUUCCCUUGUGACUUAGGCACUAUGAUCUGAUGUGUCAGAGCAGGAGGAACUUAUUUUACUCCCAGAAAGGUAUAAAUCAGCACACAUGCAGGAUAAUACCAAGAGAAAUAAACAUGUUGCAGUUGCUGGGAGACUGUGACAUGGGCUAUUGACUGGUGUUUUCUUUUAACAUGCUCAGAUCGUUGUUGGCCUUCUCUUCGUCAUCAUGUGCUUUUCAAAAGGACUCAAAGAGGGAAAUAAACCUCAAAAAAUACAAAUACCUGAAUCAUCUGCCAACAACAAGAUGAAGGAUCUGAGUGAAGAAGAUGUCCAUAUAUUGGCCAAGAUCCUUUCAGUUGGAUUGGUGGAUGCAGACCCAAACUAUCUCCACCAUCUUAAAGGCUACAGAGACUUGCAUGUUAGCUAAUUUCCCAGCCUACUUACAUUAAUUAAUGAGCAAACACAUCUGUUCCCGGUUAUAUGGAUAGAUUUGGGAUGACAUAAAGGCUCUUCAGCAUUGUGAUUGGAUUACCACAAGUCAAGUGCUUCACCCCCCCCCCCCCAGAUGUUCCAUGAUUAAUGGAAAAUAUGCACUUUAUUCUGGUAAUGAAGAAGGAAUAACCUGUCACUGGUGCUUAAUAUGGAUCAUUUUGAUGAUGGAUCCUGAUUGCUUAAUUUAUUGCCUAACUGUAUAAUUUGAAAUAUGUGAAUAUGUGCAGAAAAGAGCCUCUGAUUUUACUUUCAACACCUGCUUCUUUUUUAAUCAGGAAAUGCAGAAAUUGAAAAUGCAGAAAUAGGAGCACUCCCUGUAUUGUUGUUAGUGGUACUUGCUUUAUUUGGCUUGUUUUAUUCAAGUGAUUUUCAAUGUUACAUACCACUUUGUUAAACUGUAAACCUAAACUAUUUAAUUUACAUCUGAUGCAGCCUAUGUUUUAAAUCAGGAAAUGCUUAAAAUGAAAAUAUAGAGAUAGGAGCAUUGCUUAUAUUGUUGUCAGUGGUUUGCUUUAUUAGGCUUGUUUUAUUCAAGUUGUUUUUAAUGUUACAAACCACUUUGUUAAACUGUAAAUCUCUAUCAUUAUAUUAUCUCUAUCAUUACAAUCAUUAUCUGAGGUAUGUUACACAAUUCAGCUGUUGCAGGCAGUUUUAGUACAGAUAGCAAUAAAUCCCUUUAAAGUUAGAGAAGGUCAUUUUUCCUUAACUUAGCUUAGCUUCCUUCGCUAAAUAGGCCACAAUUGAUUAUGAAAUAAUACCAGCUAGAUUUGAGCUAAAUGCAAACUAGUAGUUUACUGUUUGCUAAACAAUAGUUUAGCAUUUACCUAAAAUGCUGAACUAAUGUAACAGUAGCACAAUAAGAAUCAGAAAAGUGACUCAGUAGUGUGCAGUAUACAAUAGUAUUUACCUGAGGUUUGCUAACUUUAGCUAACAUUAUUAAGCUGCUGUCAUGGUCAUACCGGACCAACAAAGGCUGUAGCAGGCAUAACCCCUGAGCAAUGGUGCAUUUUAUUGAUAUUGAUACAUAUUUUCAUUUGUAACAGAAAGAAUGUGUUAGUUCUUUCAAAAGUUACGGUUUCGCUUCAAGGGAUUAUUAAUUUACCAUUUGUAUUUGGAAGAGAGGCUGAAUUACUUUGCUUCUGCUCUCUUUUGGUUCAUGUCCUUACCUACAGUAGACAGACAAAGAUAGAGAGAUUAGAGAAAAAUGAACAUGUCAUCCAUUGUUUGUCUCCAGUGGCAAACUUAAUGUCUCUUACUCCAGAAAUGGCUGUUGAGCUUGUCCCCUAGCGCGUAGAGCAAGGCCACCACUGACAUGUUAAAAAAGAAGAAGACCACCAGACCAACAGUGCUGAAGUGCCCUAGUAGGGGAUACACCCAAAUUCCAACUGACAAGUACACCCAUAUAAUCCUGCAGAACAUGUUUAAAGAGAGAGACAGGGGAAGAAAAGAAACUGUCAGUACCACUGUAUCUGUCAGAUCAUCAAGUACUGUCUUGUUUCACAGAACUAGGCUAUGUCUUGUGCAAAUAUUCACUGGCACAGUUCCAGCCAUUAACACCAAAGACACGGUUUGAUUGUAAGAUUAACAGCAUAAUAAAAAAAAUGUCAUCCACAA